CCUACGGGAGGCAGCAGUUAGGAAUAUUCGGCAAUGGGGGCAACCCUGACCGAGCAAUGCCGCGUGAACGAAGAAGUAUUUCGAUAUGUAAAGUUCUGUUGUUGAUGAAGAACUAUAGUGAUAGGAAAUGAUCAUUAUUUGACGGUAAUCAACCAGAAAGGUCCGGCUAACUACGUGCCAGCAGCCGCGGUAAUACGUAGGGACCAAGCGUUAUCCGGAAUUAUUGGGCGUAAAGGGUGCGUAGGCGGCCAUGUAAGUCUAAGUUAAAAGCCCACAGCUUAACUGUGGAAGGUGCUUAGAAACUGUAUGGCUUGAAUUCAGAAGAGGCAAGUGGAAUUCUAUGUGGAGCGGUGGAAUGCGUAGAUAUAUGGAGGAACACCAGUGGCGAAGGCGGCUUGCUGGGCUGAUAUUGACGCUGAUGCACGAAAGCGUGGGGAGCAAACAGGAUUAGAUACCCUGGUAGUCCACGCCGUAAACGAUGAGUACUAAGUGUUGGAGAAAUUCAGUGCUGAACUUAACAGAUUAAGUACUCCGCCUGGGGAUUACGACCGCAAGGUUGAAACUCAAAGGAAUUGACGG
Molecule: ribosomal RNA, 579 nt
Filed under: uncultured bacterium
Lineage: Bacteria
Description: bacterial SSU rRNA
Rfam family: Bacterial small subunit ribosomal RNA
Source: RNAcentral